Sesamum indicum (sesame) is the source of this 355-nucleotide non-coding RNA. The record is from RefSeq and is a predicted model, not a curated record. Lineage: Eukaryota; Viridiplantae; Streptophyta; Magnoliopsida; Lamiales; Pedaliaceae.
GGACGUAGAAUUCGGAGAUACAUGUGAUUCCAGGCGAUCCAGUGUCGUUCAUUGCAGCGCACUCGAGGUCGAAGCACAACGAGGCAAACGGGUAUGUUUUUGUACAUUGCAGGGUGACGGGCACCAACGGGACAGCGUACCUGGCCAGGUCCUGGUUCCCCUACGGUCGGGUCAUCUUUGCCUACUCUCAAUUGAGCGACGCUGUAAAUCCUCAAGGAUGGUCUAAUAAUGGUCAAAACCAUACCGACAGUACUGUAUAUUUUGGAGAAUACCACAAUGAGGGGCCAGGUUCCGAUCUUAGCAAGAGGGCGGCAUAUGGUAAGCAGCUGAGUGAUGCAGAGGUUAAGUCGUUCAU